RNAcentral lists this long non-coding RNA (993 nucleotides) under Rattus norvegicus (Norway rat). Its description in RNAcentral is "long non-coding RNA NONRATT021142". Lineage: Eukaryota; Metazoa; Chordata; Mammalia; Rodentia; Muridae. The record is from RNAcentral.
UAUGUUCCUGGGUUACCAUCUCAGGUCAGUGAUUGUCCCAGUAGUAAAAACUGUCGAACAUUUACUUCAGUCAGCUAUCCAUUGGUAUUUAUUGUAGCUGCACAUAUUAAAAGACAAAAUGUCUAAAGGCAUUUUGCCAUGAAUAUGUUUUGUAUAUGUGAGGCUUCAACCCUUCGGAUAUUCUGCCCCUUACACAAGUUCCAAAGCAAGUAAGACCCAUCCCUCUCACUUGUCAAGUGAGUAAAAGGGGUCCGUCGAGCAGGGUCACAGGGAACUGCUGUCUCAAAUGAGUCUCCCCCACUCUCUGGGCACUACCUAGUUUAAUUUCCAUCAGACAUAAAGAUAGUUCCACAAGCCAAUAUGGUCAAAAGCCUCAUGUGAGGGGUAUUGCAGCUUGUAAAAGUAAUUUCCAAAAUGAAACACAUUCAUCAUAAACAAAAGCACAAACACAUGUAGCGGUUUUAGACUUUUUGUUUAAUCUCAAUUCGUCUUUCUCCCCUGGACUAGAAAUCCAGUCUAGUUUGCCAUUAAUUUAUUGACUCUGGGUUUGGACAAUGCUUCUGUAGUGUAACUGCACGUCCCAGUACUGUAUCCUCUGACCUUUAUUUUUUCACACGUUACAAAAGGAAAAGAGUGAAGAUUACCCUUGCAUAAACUCUAAUUUGCACAGUUCACAGCUACUACUUGUGCAGUAGUUGCUUUAUGCGGCUGUAAUCUAUAACCCGUGAAGACAGCACAUCAUCUAAAAUCUCAUUCCAAAUAAUAUUUCUGUGUAGUGUUAGCUGUGAAUUUACCCUGUACAGCUGUAUCUCUAUAAAUAUAAUUCCGUGUAUUAAUAGUCACAGAAAGACUGUAAGUGAGCAACUAUUUUUAUGAAACGCACCACUAUGGAUAAAUUAACUUUUACAGAAAUCUUGUUUACUGUAUGAUAUUCUAAAACACUGUCAAAUAAAAUAUAUAUCCAAAAAUCUUUUCCUUUUUCAGCUAUAUAAA